GGGCGGGUAGCUCAGUUGGUUAGAGCGCGACACUGAUAAUGUCGAGGUCAGAGGUUCAACUCCUCUCUCGCCCACCA
This 77-nucleotide transfer RNA is filed under the name Candidatus Altimarinota bacterium. RNAcentral's name for it is "tRNA-Ile". It matches the Rfam family "tRNA". Rfam says of the family: Transfer RNA (tRNA) molecules are approximately 80 nucleotides in length. Their secondary structure includes four short double-helical elements and three loops (D, anti-codon, and T loops). The record is from RNAcentral. Lineage: Bacteria; Candidatus Altimarinota.